This 253-nucleotide ribosomal RNA is filed under the name uncultured bacterium. Its description in RNAcentral is "partial 16S ribosomal RNA". It matches the Rfam family "Bacterial small subunit ribosomal RNA", at positions 524 to 776 of the family's 1533-position model. The record is from RNAcentral.
UACGUAGGGGGCAAGCGUUGUCCGGAAUCAUUGGGCGUAAAGAGCGUGUAGGCGGCCCGAUAAGUCCGCUGUGAAAGUCCAGGGCUCAACCCUGGAAUGCCGGUGGAUACUGUCGGGCUCGAGUUCGGAAGAGGUGAGUGGAAUUCCUGGUGUAGCGGUGAAAUGCGCAGAUAUCGGGAAGAACACCCGUGGCGAAGGCGGUUCUCUGGGACGGUACUGACGCUGAGACGCGAAAGCGUGGGGAGCGAACAGG